GGUUAAGCGACUAAGCGUACACGGUGGAUGCCCUGGCAGUCAGAGGCGAUGAAGGACGUGCUAAUCUGCGAAAAGCGUCGGUAAGGUGAUAUGAACCGUUAUAGCCGGCGAUGUCCGAAUGGGGAAACCCAGUGCAAUUCGUUGCACUAUCGUUAACUGAAUACAUAGGUUAACGAGGCGAACCGGGGGAACUGAAACAUCUAAGUACCCCGAGGAAAAGAAAUCAACCGAGAUUCCCCCAGUAGCGGCGAGCGAACGGGGAGCAGCCCAGAGUCUGAAUCAGCUUGUGUGUUAGUGGAACGGUCUGGAAAGUCCGACGGUACAGGGUGAUAGUCCCGUACACCAAAAUGCACAGGCUGUGAACUCGAAGAGUAGGGCGGGACACGUGGUAUCCUGUCUGAAUAUGGGGGGACCAUCCUCCAAGGCUAAAUACUCCUGACUGACCGAUAGUGAACCAGUACCGUGAGGGAAAGGCGAAAAGAACCCCGGCGAGGGGAGUGAAAAAGAACCUGAAACCGUGUACGUACAAGCAGUGGGAGCACCUUCGGGUGUGACUGCGUACCUUUUGUAUAAUGGGUCAGCGACUUAUAUUCUGUAGCAAGGUUAACCGUAUAGGGGAGCCGCAGGGAAACCGAGUCUUAACUGGGCGUUAAGUUGCAGGGUAUAGACCCGAAACCCGGUGAUCUAGCCAUGGGCAGGUUGAAGGUUGGGUAACACUAACUGGAGGACCGAACCGACUAAUGUUGAAAAAUUAGCGGAUGACUUGUGGCUGGGGGUGAAAGGCCAAUCAAACCGGGAGAUAGCUGGUUCUCCCCGAAAGCUAUUUAGGUAGCGCCUCGUGAAUUCAUCUUCGGGGGUAGAGCACUGUUUCGGCUAGGGGGUCAUCCCGACUUACCAACCCGAUGCAAACUACGAAUACCGAAGAAUGUUAUCACGGGAGACACACGGCGGGUGCUAACGUCCGUCGUGAAGAGGGAAACAACCCAGACCGCCAGCUAAGGUCCCAAAGUCAUGGUUAAGUGGGAAACGAUGUGGGAAGGCACAGACAGCCAGGAUGUUGGCUUAGAAGCAGCCAUCAUUUAAAGAAAGCGUAAUAGCUCACUGGUCGAGUCGGCCUGCGCGGAAGAUGUAACGGGGCUAAACCAUGCACCGAAGCUGCGGCAGCGACACUAUGUGUUGUUGGGUAGGGGAGCGUUCUGUAAGCCUGCGAAGGUGACCUGUGAGGGUUGCUGGAGGUAUCAGAAGUGCGAAUGCUGACAUAAGUAACGAUAAAGCGGGUGAAAAGCCCGCUCGCCGGAAGACCAAGGGUUCCUGUCCAACGUUAAUCGGGGCAGGGUGAGUCGACCCCUAAGGCGAGGCCGAAAGGCGUAGUCGAUGGGAAACAGGUUAAUAUUCCUGUACUUGGUGUUACUGCGAAGGGGGGACGGAGAAGGCUAUGUUAGCCGGGCGACGGUUGUCCCGGUUUAAGCAUGUAGGCUGAUUGUCCAGGCAAAUCCGGAUAAUCAAGGCUGAGGUGUGAUGACGAGGCACUACGGUGCUGAAGUAACAAAUGCCCUGCUUCCAGGAAAAGCCUCUAAGCAUCAGGUAACAUCAAAUCGUACCCCAAACCGACACAGGUGGUCAGGUAGAGAAUACCAAGGCGCUUGAGAGAACUCGGGUGAAGGAACUAGGCAAAAUGGUGCCGUAACUUCGGGAGAAGGCACGCUGGUGUGUAGGUGAAGUCCCUGCGGAUGGAGCUGAGACCAGUCGAAGAUACCAGCUGGCUGCAACUGUUUAUUAAAAACACAGCACUGUGCAAACACGAAAGUGGACGUAUACGGUGUGACGCCUGCCCGGUGCCGGAAGGUUAAUUGAUGGGGUUAUCCGUAAGGAGAAGCUCUUGAUCGAAGCCCCGGUAAACGGCGGCCGUAACUAUAACGGUCCUAAGGUAGCGAAAUUCCUUGUCGGGUAAGUUCCGACCUGCACGAAUGGCGUAAUGAUGGCCAGGCUGUCUCCACCCGAGACUCAGUGAAAUUGAACUCGCUGUGAAGAUGCAGUGUACCCGCGGCAAGACGGAAAGACCCCGUGAACCUUUACUAUAGCUUGACACUGAACAUUGAGCCUUGAUGUGUAGGAUAGGUGGGAGGCUUUGAAGCGUGGACGCCAGUCUGCGUGGAGCCAACCUUGAAAUACCACCCUUUAAUGUUUGAUGUUCUAACGUUGGCCCCUUACCGGGGUUGCGGACAGUGUCUGGUGGGUAGUUUGACUGGGGCGGUCUCCUCCCAAAGCGUAACGGAGGAGCACGAAGGUUAGCUAAUCCUGGUCGGACAUCAGGAGGUUAGUGCAAUGGCAUAAGCUAGCUUGACUGCGAGCGUGACGGCGCGAGCAGGUGCGAAAGCAGGUCAUAGUGAUCCGGUGGUUCUGAAUGGAAGGGCCAUCGCUCAACGGAUAAAAGGUACUCCGGGGAUAACAGGCUGAUACCGCCCAAGAGUUCAUAUCGACGGCGGUGUUUGGCACCUCGAUGUCGGCUCAUCACAUCCUGGGGCUGAAGUAGGUCCCAAGGGUAUGGCUGUUCGCCAUUUAAAGUGGUACGCGAGCUGGGUUUAGAACGUCGUGAGACAGUUCGGUCCCUAUCUGCCGUGGGCGCUGGAGAAUUGAGGGGGGCUGCUCCUAGUACGAGAGGACCGGAGUGGACGCAUCACUGGUGUUCGGGUUGUCAUGCCAAUGGCACUGCCCGGUAGCUAAAUGCGGAAGAGAUAAGUGCUGAAAGCAUCUAAGCACGAAACUUGCCCCGAGAUGAGUUCUCCCUGAGACUUUAAGUCUCCUGAAGGAACGUUGAAGACGACGACGUUGAUAGGCCGGGUGUGUAAGCGCAGCGAUGCGUUGAGCUAACCGGUACUAAUGAACCGUGAGGCUUAACCUU
Molecule: ribosomal RNA, 2902 nt
Filed under: Klebsiella pneumoniae
Lineage: Bacteria; Pseudomonadati; Pseudomonadota; Gammaproteobacteria; Enterobacterales; Enterobacteriaceae
Description: 23S ribosomal RNA
Rfam family: Bacterial large subunit ribosomal RNA
Source: RNAcentral